This 119-nucleotide ribosomal RNA is filed under the name Triticum aestivum (bread wheat). The record is from RNAcentral. Lineage: Eukaryota; Viridiplantae; Streptophyta; Magnoliopsida; Poales; Poaceae.
GGAUGCGAUCAUACCAGCACUAAAGCACCGGAUCCCAUCAAAACUCCGAAGUUAAGCGUGCUUGGGCGAGAGUAGUACUAGGAUGGGUGACUUCCUGGGAAGUCCUCGUGUUGCAUUCC